UGAAAAAUUCAAGAAGGAUCAGAAUCAAGAGAUGAUUAGUAGUGCCUCCACCCAAGAAACAUACAAGAAGAAAGUCAUCCAAGAAAAGCUUGAUGAUCCCGGUUCGUUCACUCUAUCAUGCUCUCUAGGACCAUUGACAUUCAAUAGGUGCCUUUGUGAUUUUGGAGCAUAUGUUAGCCUUAUGCCUCUCUCUACAGCUAAAAGGCUAGGGAUCAUGGAAUACAAGUUCUGCAACUUAGCUUUACUCUUAGCUGAUGGUUCUGUUGCACAUCCUCAUGAUCUAAUAGAAAAUCAGCCUGUCAAGAUUGGAAAUGUUGAGAUACCUACUGAUUGUGGUAAUGGACAUAGAUGAAGAAGGAAAGGAUCGCCUGAUCCUAGGCAGACCAUUCUUAGCUUCAGCUAGAGCAGUCAUAGAUGUCAUGAAUGGAAAAAUUGAUG
Molecule: small RNA, 438 nt
Filed under: Arabidopsis thaliana (thale cress)
Lineage: Eukaryota; Viridiplantae; Streptophyta; Magnoliopsida; Brassicales; Brassicaceae
Description: ATSL158320
Source: RNAcentral